GCCUCCUUCCUGGUUGUUAGUUGGGAGGCUGCCUAGCCAGGCGGCGAAUUGUUGGCGCUGGAGAUCGUGCGCGCAAAACGAAGGCGGGCCGGGGAGUGCUGUGGCGGGAUUCCGUCUAGGGGUAGUUGGCAGCUGCUCCCUCAGUUUCCCCCCCACUUCUUUUUCGCUUGAAACCACAAAGCGCUUUGUUUGAACUUUUCAUGGAAUCCAGCCCAGGUUGUAACAGGACAUUGAAGAAACAGAGCUAAAGAGGACAUUCUGAAACCAGAAGAGAUGUUGCUAUGAGGAAAGACAUCAGAGAUGACUGAUGUUGAGCCUGUAGUCACAGAUUUUGCUGCAUCAGGACGGGCUGGACGCCGAAAUGCCUUACCAGACAUUCUGGGUUCUUCUGCUGGAGCUGGAACAUCAGAACUGCCACACAAAUUAGCAGAACUCUCAAUGUCAGAUGGAGCUGAAGGAGGAGAAGCGUCAUCCUCUGGUGCCAUUAUGGACAACCAAGAGAUGGAAGAAAAAACAAUGGAUUCCUAAUGUUUAUAAAAUGAUUGGUUUGGGUGAUCAUCUAUGAACUUCACUGCCAGACUGUCCAAGACUCUGAAAUAUGUAAUAUUUGUAGCUGGCUAAUAUGAAUAUGUUGAAAAAAUAGUUAUGUUCUCAAAUUCACCAAGAAGCAAUUUAUUUAUUUACAAAUCAUAACCAGUACCUGCAGAAAAAAAAAAGAAUUGUUUUCAGUCAUUUAACAAAUGAAGUCCAACAUAAUCAGCUGAUUAGUGCAAAUAACCAAAUACAACAACAAACAUCAUGAAUAACUUGGGAUCUUUUCUGAUAAUAAACUUAAAAUGUAGAUAUUAGCUUUGGUUUGAGCUUAGUAUAUAUGUGUACAUACAUGCGCAUGCACACAAACACACAUUUUAUACAUAGAAUAGUAUACAAAAGUACAUAUCAAAAUCAGUAAUUCUAGACCCAGAAUAGAAAAACUUUAUGUAAGA
Molecule: non-coding RNA, 986 nt
Organism: Notechis scutatus (mainland tiger snake)
Lineage: Eukaryota; Metazoa; Chordata; Lepidosauria; Squamata; Elapidae
Source: RefSeq, a predicted model, not a curated record